CUCCAAAAUGUUGAGUUCAGUUCAGGGCAGUUUCCCUGUUCUGUUAAUUUAACUUUGGGACAUUAAAAUUGCCUGAGAAGACUAUUUAUAGACCUGUAGUCUACACAA
Cricetulus griseus (Chinese hamster) is the source of this 108-nucleotide small nucleolar RNA. NCBI's taxonomy places the organism in Eukaryota, Metazoa, Chordata, Mammalia, Rodentia, Cricetidae. The record is from Ensembl.